This 465-nucleotide ribosomal RNA is filed under the name uncultured bacterium. RNAcentral describes it as "partial 16S ribosomal RNA". It matches the Rfam family "Bacterial small subunit ribosomal RNA", at positions 338 to 795 of the family's 1533-position model. The record is from RNAcentral.
CCUACGGGAGGCAGCAGUGGGGAAUAUUGCGCAAUGGGCGAAAGCCUGACGCAGCGACGCCGCGUGAGGGAUGAAGGUCUUCGGAUCGUAACCCGCUGUCAGCAGGGAAGAACGGUCACUGUGCUAAUCAGCAGUGAAUUGACGGUACCUGCAAAGGAAGCACCGGCUAACUCCGGGCCAGCAGCCGCGGUAAUACGGAGGGUGCGAGCGUUAAUCGGAAUUACUGGGCGUAAAGCGGUCGUAUGCAGUAUGUCAAGUCCAGGGUGAAAUCCCCGCGCUCCACGUGGGAACUGCCUUUGAAACUGGGAAACUGGAGUGUGUGAGAGGUGAGUGGAAUUCAAGGUGUAGGAGUGAAAUCCGUAGAGAUCUGGAGGAAUAUGAGUGGCGAAGGCGACUAUCUGGCACAUAACUGACGCUGAGGAGCGAAAGCGUGGGUAGCAAACAGGAUUAGAUACCCUUGUAGUC